RNAcentral lists this long non-coding RNA (300 nucleotides) under Oryza sativa Indica Group (long-grained rice). Its description in RNAcentral is "lncRNA OsMH63_05G018060". Lineage: Eukaryota; Viridiplantae; Streptophyta; Magnoliopsida; Poales; Poaceae. The record is from RNAcentral.
AGGGCGGCGAAGCCGUCAACGACGUGCUUGUACGAGCGGACCAGCCGCGGCUUGCCAUCGGCGGUGGUGUUGCCGGGGAGGAAGGGUAGGUGCCAGCUCCGUCGUGCACCGUCGUCGUCCAUGCCGACGGCGUUGUCGUCCGGUCGCGGCCUUAGGAGAACGAUUCUCAGCGACCGCAUAUCUCAUGAGACGGAAUCUUCCGGUUCCGGCGACCAACCUGCAUCUGCAGGCAGGCAGCAGAUGCCUGCAACAACUCUGCAGCAGACGACUGGUACGUUUCGGUGCACACGUUGCCGCUAA